GGUGUGGCUCAGUUUGGUAGAGCGCUUGGUUCGGGACCAAGAGGCCGUGGGUUCGAAUCCCGCCACU
RNAcentral lists this transfer RNA (67 nucleotides) under human gut metagenome. It matches the Rfam family "tRNA", at positions 5 to 66 of the family's 71-position model. From Rfam's summary of the family: Transfer RNA (tRNA) molecules are approximately 80 nucleotides in length. Their secondary structure includes four short double-helical elements and three loops (D, anti-codon, and T loops). Further hydrogen bonds mediate the characteristic L-shaped molecular structure. tRNAs have two regions of fundamental functional importance: the anti-codon, which is responsible for specific mRNA codon recognition, and the 3' end, to which the tRNAs corresponding amino acid is attached (by aminoacyl-tRNA synthetases). tRNAs cope with the degeneracy of the genetic code in two manners: having more than one tRNA (with a specific anti-codon) for a particular amino acid; and 'wobble' base-pairing, i.e. permitting non-standard base-pairing at the 3rd anti-codon position. RNAcentral also lists the same sequence under 1 other name. The record is from RNAcentral.